GGUUGUUAAAGCAGAAAGGAAUCUGACUGCUGUUAUGGGGACUGCCCACAAAAUGUUUUGUGCAUGCGCAUCAUUACAGCGCUCCAUGCAUGUCCUGCAAUCAGCUUAACUGGCAGGCAGCUUUGCGUGCAUUCAUGCCAGACUGUCCUGCAAGUAUUUGUGGCAGACAUGCUCCCUUGGGAGGAGUCUAUGACACGAUUGUAUUACUAUUAUCCUAUUGGUGUCUCGUUUCUCGGAACACCAAUGUUGGGAGGAGGUGUGUGCUAGCCUAUGUGUCCAUCUGCCAUUGUAGUGCCAUGGUCUAAAUCAAAUAUUAGGUAGAUACGCACCCUGAUUGCUGCCAGCAUUCCUAGGCACGUAGACCCUGUUAAGUUGAAUGAGAAUGCCAUAGAGACGUCCUCAGUUCGAUUAAAUGAAGGAACUCACAGCUUACAUUGCUAAGGUCAAUUUCCCCAUGCACCUAUUACCCAAUUAAUUUUCAUUAAUUUAGUAAAAUGUCACUCGGGUGUUUUUUGCAG
Molecule: non-coding RNA, 518 nt
Organism: Pelobates cultripes (western spadefoot toad)
Lineage: Eukaryota; Metazoa; Chordata; Amphibia; Anura; Pelobatidae
Source: the annotation of a GenBank genome assembly